This is a long non-coding RNA of Engraulis encrasicolus (European anchovy), 622 nucleotides long. RefSeq lists it as uncharacterized. NCBI's taxonomy places the organism in Eukaryota, Metazoa, Chordata, Actinopteri, Clupeiformes, Engraulidae. The transcript has 3 exons. The record is from RefSeq and is a predicted model, not a curated record.
CACCCCUACAACGUGCUUGUUCAAGCAGCUCCUUUUCUUUCAGGUUUUGUGCUUAGAAAGAGUGACAUGAUGCAGGAUGGAGUUGCGAGGAGUUCCCGGACACGGUCAGAGAUGGCUGGAACAGUCGGAUGGAUUUGCAAUCAUGCAAUAAAUGCCCACAUAAGACGCCAUGGUCAAAUGGUUGGAGAUCGUUGAGAGUUUGCAGCUAUUGAUGAAAGUUGUUUCCUUAAUAAAAGCAAGUAUCACCACAGAAGGGCCGGUGCAACAUGGCGACGGAAAAAGUGGGUAUUAAGAAUAUUAGGAGUAGGUGACCGCCAGAAACAUCCUGUCUUGUGGCUGGUGUGGUUAAACAAGUGCGUCCGGGAACCACCGUCAUCAGUGACCAAUGGGGCACUUACAGGAGUGCAUUGACUGCGACAGGCUACAGGCACUUCACAGUGAACCACUGUCAGUAGUUUGCGGAUCCAAACACCUUGCGCGCCUCCCAGUAUGUCAACCCCAGCUUUCUCUGUGGACCAUGCAACUUGGACUUUCCGAGUUUCAUAUAGGACAAUGCAUCUUGCUCUGCAUCUGUAAACCAUGGAUUCAUCUUUUGGACAUUUUCAGGAGAAUGGCUGUGUGU